GUUGCGAGCAGCUCGGCCUGUGGCAGAGAGAGAUGGCCCAGUGCCCAUGGGAGUCGAGCGUGCCCAUGUUUGGGCUUACUCCCAACUCUGUGUUCAGGAAUUAUUCCUGGCAGCGCUAAGAGCACCAUAUGGGAUGAUGGGGAUUGAACCCAGAUCAGCCGUGUGCAAGAAUGACCUGACAUCCUUCCUUCCAGAGCUGGAGGUGAGAGCUCCUUCUGCUGAAUCUGUGAGUUGAAAAUGCUUUGGCCCAUCAGGACGGGGCAAGUGAUGCCAUGUGACCUCUCAGGAGUGUUCCUAAAGUGCUGUUUCCAGUCUCAUUUGCUGCAGCCACGUCACCCACUAGG
Long non-coding RNA from Sorex araneus (European shrew), 344 nucleotides. RefSeq lists it as uncharacterized. The transcript is spliced from 3 exons. The record is from RefSeq and is a predicted model, not a curated record. Lineage: Eukaryota; Metazoa; Chordata; Mammalia; Eulipotyphla; Soricidae.